CUGGCGGCGUGCCUAAUACAUGCAAGUCGAACGGUCUUUCUAUGGAAGGCUUGCUUCCACUGAGAAGAUAGUGGCGGACGGGUGAGUAACACGUGGGUAACCUGCCCAUAAGAGGGGGAUAACAUCCGGAAACGGGUGCUAAUACCGCAUAGUUUUCUUGAUCGCAUGAUUGAGAAAGGAAAGACGGCCUUUGUGCUGUCGCUUAUGGAUGGACCCGCGGCGUAUUAGUUAGUUGGUGAGGUAAUGGCUCACCAAGACGAUGAUACGUAGCCGACCUGAGAGGGUGAUCGGCCACAUUGGGACUGAGACACGGCCCAGACUCCUACGGGAGGCAGCAGUAGGGAAUCUUCCGCAAUGGACGAAAGUCUGACGGAGCAACGCCGCGUGAGUGAAGAAAGGUUUUCGGAUCGUAAAACUCUGUUGUCAGAGAAGAACAAGUUGGAGAGUAACUGCUCCAGCCUUGACGGUAUCUGACCAGAAAGCCACGGCUAACUACGUGCCAGCCGCUGC
This 510-nucleotide ribosomal RNA is filed under the name uncultured bacterium. Its description in RNAcentral is "bacterial SSU rRNA". It matches the Rfam family "Bacterial small subunit ribosomal RNA", at positions 36 to 518 of the family's 1533-position model. The record is from RNAcentral.